The sequence is a ribosomal RNA, 1016 nucleotides long. It matches the Rfam family "Bacterial large subunit ribosomal RNA", at positions 458 to 1480 of the family's 2925-position model.
UCCUAAGGCUAAAUACUCUCUAGUGACCGAUAGUGAACCAGUACCGUGAGGGAAAGGUGAAAAGCACCCCGGAAGGGGAGUGAAAUAGAACCUGAAACCGUGUGCUUACAAGUAGUCAGAGCCCGUUAAUGGGUGAUGGCGUGCCUUUUGUAGAAUGAACCGGCGAGUUACGAUUUGAUGCAAGGUUAAGCAGUAAAUGUGGAGCCGUAGCGAAAGCGAGUCUGAAUAGGGCGUUUAGUAUUUGGUCGUAGACCCGAAACCAGGUGAUCUACCCUUGGUCAGGUUGAAGUUCAGGUAACACUGAAUGGAGGACCGAACCGACUUACGUUGAAAAGUGAGCGGAUGAACUGAGGGUAGCGGAGAAAUUCCAAUCGAACCUGGAGAUAGCUGGUUCUCUCCGAAAUAGCUUUAGGGCUAGCCUCAAGUGAUGAUUAUUGGAGGUAGAGCACUGUUUGGACGAGGGGCCCCUCUCGGGUUACCGAAUUCAGACAAACUCCGAAUGCCAAUUAAUUUAACUUGGGAGUCAGAACAUGGGUGAUAAGGUCCGUGUUCGAAAGGGAAACAGCCCAGACCACCAGCUAAGGUCCCAAAAUAUAUGUUAAGUGGAAAAGGAUGUGGCGUUGCCCAGACAACUAGGAUGUUGGCUUAGAAGCAGCCAUCAUUUAAAGAGUGCGUAAUAGCUCACUAGUCGAGUGACACUGCGCCGAAAAUGUACCGGGGCUAAACAUAUUACCGAAGCUGUGGAUUGUCCUUUGGACAAUGGUAGGAGAGCGUUCUAAGGGCGUUGAAGCAUGAUCGUAAGGACAUGUGGAGCGCUUAGAAGUGAGAAUGCCGGUGUGAGUAGCGAAAGACGGGUGAGAAUCCCGUCCACCGAUUGACUAAGGUUUCCAGAGGAAGGCUCGUCCGCUCUGGGUUAGUCGGGUCCUAAGCUGAGGCCGACAGGCGUAGGCGAUGGAUAACAGGUUGAUAUUCCUGUACCACCUAUAAUCGUUUUAAUCGAUGGGGGGACGCAGUAG